Molecule: ribosomal RNA, 444 nt
Filed under: uncultured soil bacterium
Lineage: Bacteria
Description: bacterial SSU rRNA
Rfam family: Bacterial small subunit ribosomal RNA
Source: RNAcentral
AGAGUGAACGCUGGCGGCAGGCCUAACACAUGCAAGUCGAACGGCAGCGGGCAGUAGCAAUACUGUGCCGGCGAGUGGCGGACGGGUGAGGAAUACAUCGGAAUCUACCUUGUCGUGGGGGAUAACGUAGGGAAACUUACGCUAAUACCGCAUACGAACCAUGGUUGAAAGCGGCGGACCGCAAGGCGUCGCGCGAUUGGAUGAGCCGAUGUCCGAUUAGCUAGUUGGCGGGUAAAGGCCCACCAAGGCGACGAUCGGUAGCUGGUCUGAGAGGAUGAUCAGCCACACUGGAACUGAGACACGGUCCGGACUCCUACGGGAGGCAGCAGGUGGGGAAUAUUGGACAAGUGGGGGCAACCCUGAUCCAGCCAUGCCGCGUGUGUGAAGAGGCCUUCGGUUGUAAGCUACUUUGUAGGGAAGAAAGCACUUGGUUAAUACCGUUGU